This 436-nucleotide ribosomal RNA is filed under the name uncultured bacterium. RNAcentral describes it as "bacterial SSU rRNA". It matches the Rfam family "Bacterial small subunit ribosomal RNA", at positions 27 to 507 of the family's 1533-position model. The record is from RNAcentral.
CGAACGAACGCUGGCGGCGAUGCCUAAUACAUGCAAGUCGAACGAACACUUCGGUGUUAGUGGCGCACGGGUGCGUAACGCGUGGGAAUCUGCCCUUGGGUUCGGAAUAACAGUUAGAAAUGACUGCUAAUACCGGAUGAUGACGUAAGUCCAAAGAUUUAUCGCCCAGGGAUGAGCCCGCGUAAGAUUAGCUAGUUGGUGAGGUAAAGGCUCACCAAGGCUACGAUCUUUAGCUGGUCUGAGAGGAUGAUCAGCCACACUGGGACUGAGACACGGCCCAGACUCCUACGGGAGGCAGCAGUAGGGAAUAUUGGACAAUGGGGGCAACCCUGAUCCAGCAAUGCCGCGUGAGUGAUGAAGGCCUUAGGGUUGUAAAGCUCUUUUACCCGGGAUGAUAAUGACAGUACCGGGAGAAUAAGCUCCGGCUAACUCCGUG